Falco peregrinus (peregrine falcon) is the source of this 733-nucleotide long non-coding RNA. RefSeq lists it as uncharacterized. The record is from RefSeq and is a predicted model, not a curated record. NCBI's taxonomy places the organism in Eukaryota, Metazoa, Chordata, Aves, Falconiformes, Falconidae. The transcript is spliced from 3 exons.
GCACUCAGUACCAAAGUUGGUGAGACACCUUGCCCAUGUGUUAGGCUGUGUUUAUAGUGUGUGUUAAAUCUGGCUGUGGAUCUUUUGACCAUAGAAAGCCUCCUGUUCUGCCUACAAAAGCCACAACCUCAGGCUAGAAUGUUAUCCAAGUCUUUAUUUCUUUUAGGUUAGCCACAUCAGAGGCUGAUUGGAUUUUUGCCUUUGGUAUGCUGUCUUUGUGGCUUCCUCCUGUCUACUGGCUGCCCUGGCCAUGGAGAAAAGCAUCAUGCUUAGCGCUCCAAAUACUGUUGGCAAAUGAUGUAACUUCUAAUUCUGUCUGACCAGCAAGCUUCUGAAUAAUAAGCCAGUAACACAUGGAAACACUGAGUGAAAAGAUUAUUUCCACAGCCUCGCAUGUGGGCAUUGCCAAAUGAUGGGGUUAAAUGGAAAUCUCUGGCAGCUGCAUGCAGAACUGUUUCCUGGUGGUGAAGCUGUGGACAGAGUUCCCAGAGGAGGAUUGAGUUUGGCAGGGCUUGAGAUCACCUUGCUGACUCCCACUUGUGUUAGUGGAGUGAUGGGAGUGAUUUGCCUGGGUUCUUUAAAUCUGCAGCAGGAGAAGUCAGGGAGAAGCAUGUAACUAGAUGUUCUGCAGUGGCACAAAGCUGAGAGAAAAGCUUCAAGGGUAAUGUUCUGUCCUUAAUAAUGUUCCUUGUUCAGUAUUAGUAGAAAAUUACUCUUUCUGCAUUCCUUCAUA